UACAGAGGGUGCGAGCGUUAAUCGGAAUUACUGGGCGUAAAGCGCACGUAGGCGGCUUUGCAAGUCGGGUGUGAAAUCCCCGGGCUCAACCUGGGAACUGCAUCCGAGACUGCAUUGCUCGAGUAUGGGAGAGGGAAGUGGAAUUUCCGGUGUAGCGGUGAAAUGCGUAGAUAUCGGAAGGAGCAUCAGUGGCGAAGGCGACUUCCUGGACCAAUACUGACGCUCAGGUGCGAAAGCGUGGGGAGCAAACAGG
RNAcentral lists this ribosomal RNA (253 nucleotides) under uncultured bacterium. Its description in RNAcentral is "partial 16S ribosomal RNA". It matches the Rfam family "Bacterial small subunit ribosomal RNA", at positions 524 to 776 of the family's 1533-position model. The record is from RNAcentral.